UUACUGACUGAGUUAUGGGCCAAAUUUGGUGCAAAAAUGAGGAAAAUUUUACAUUUUCUCAAACAGGGUAAGGAACUUGGUUUCUCGAAUAACUUCUGGCACAGACAUCUGAGGGCAUGGCCGUCCAAGAAGGAAAUGUAGCCAUUGGUGCCAUCUAUCGACCACAGGUUAAAGAUUGGCGAUCCGUUGGGUACUGACUGAGUUAUGGGCAAAAUUUGGUACAAAAAUGAGGAAAAUUUUACAUUUUCUCAAACAGAGUAAGGGACUUGGUUCCUCGAAUAACUUCUGGCUCAGACAUCUGAGCGCAUGGCCGUCCAAGAAGGAAAUGUAGCCAUUGGUGCCAUCUAUCGACCACAGGUUAAAGAUUGGCGAUCCGUUGGAUACUGACUGAGUUAUGGGCAAAAUUUGGUGCAAAAAUGAGGAAAAUUUUACAUUUUCUCAAACAGGGUAAGGAACUUGGUUCCUCGAAUAACUUCUGGCACAGACAUCUGAGGGCAUGGCCGUCCAAGAAGAAAAUGUAGCCAUUGGUGCCAUCUAUCGACCACAGGUUAAAGAUUGGCGAUCCGUUGGAUACUGACCGAGUUAUAGGCAAAAGUUGGUGCAAAAAUGAGGAAAAUUUUACAUUUUCUCAAACAGGGUAAGGAACUUGGUUCCUCGAAUAACUUCUGGCACAGACAUCUGAGGGCAAGGCCGUCCAAGAAGGAAAUGUAGCCAUUGGUGCCAUCUAUCGAUCACAGGUCAAAGAUUGGCAAUCCGUUGGAUACCGACCGAGUUAUAGGCAAAAUUUGGUGCAAAAAUGAGGAAAAUUUUACAUUUUCUCAAACAGGGUAAGGAACUUGGUUCCUCGAAUAACUUCUGACACAGACAUCUGAGGGCAUGGCCGUCCAAAAAGGAAAUGUAGCCAUUGGUGCCAUCUAUCGACCACAGGUUAAAGAUUGGCGAUCCGUUGGAUACUGACUGAGUUAUAGGCAAAAGUUGGUGCAAAAAUGAGGAAAAUUUUACAUUUUCUCAAACAGGGUAGGAACUUGGUUCCUCGAAUAACUUCUGGCACAGACAUCUGAGGGCAAGGCCGUCCAAGAAGGAAAUGUAGCCAUUGGUGCCAUCUAUCGAUCACAGGUCAAAGAUUGGCGAUCCGUUGGAUACCGACCGAGUUAUGGGCAAAAUUUGGUGCAAAAAUGAGGAAAAUUUUACAUUUUCUCAAACAGGGUAGGAACUUGGUUCCUCGAAUAACUUCUGGCACAGACAUCUGAGGGCAAGGCCGUCCAAGAAGGAAAUGUAGCCAUUGGUGCCAUCUAUCGAUCACAGUUCAAAGAUUGGCGAUCCGUUGGAUACUGACCGAGUUAUAGGCAAAAGUUGGUGCAGAAAAGAGCCUUAUGAAAUUUUCAAAUUUUUAUAUUUUUUAAAUUUUUUCUGAAUUUUUACUCUUUUUUUAAUUUAAAGCAUUAUUUGAGUGAAAAGAAACUCAUUGCAACCAAUUGGCAUUAAAAUAAAUCAAUUUAAUUUUUUUUGCAAAAUUUCUCAAAAAAAUGGCAAGGGGUACCCCUUAUGAAAUUUUCGAGUGGAAAAUUUUUUUAAAAUUUUUUUCAGAUUUUUUAUUCUUUUUUUAAUUUAAAGCAUUGUUUCAGUGAAAAGAAACUUAUUGCAACAAAAUUCGCAUUAAAAUAUAUCAUAUUUUUAAAUUUUGCUAAAUUACUCAAAAAUGAAGAAAAUUUUACAUUUUCUCAAACAGGGUAAGGAACUUGGUUCCUCGAAUAACUUCUGGCACAGACAUCUGAGCGCAUGGCCGUCCAAGAAGGAAAUGUAGCCAUUGGUGCCAUCUAUCGACCACAGGUUAAAGAUUGGCGAUCCGUUGGUUACUGACUGAGUUAUGGGCAAAAUUUGGUGCAAAAAUGAGGAAAAUUUUACAUUUUCUCAAACAGGGUAAGGAACUUGGUUCCUCGAAUAACUUCUGGCACAGACAUCUGAGGCCAUGGCCGUCCAAGAAGGAAAUGUAGCCAUUGGUGCCAUCUAUCGACCACAGGUUAAAGAUUGGCGAUCCGUUGGAUACUGACCGAGUUAUGGGCAAAAGUUGGUGCAAAAAUGAGCCUUAUGAAAUUUUCAAAUUUUUAUAUUUUUUAAAUUUUUUCUGAAUUUUUACUCUUUUUUUAAUUUAAAGCAUUAUUUGAGUGAAAAGAAACUCAUUGCAACCAAUUGGCAUUAAAAUAAAUGAAUUUAAUUUUUUUUGCAAAAUUUCUCAAAAAAAUGGCAAGGGGUACCCCUUAUGAAAUUUUCGAGUGGAAAAUUUUUUUAAAAUUUUUUUCUGAUUUUUUAUUCUUUUUUUAAUUUAAAGCAUUAUUUAAGUGAAAAGAAACUUAUUGCAACAAAAUUCGCAUUAAAAUAUAUCAUAUUUUUAAAUUUUGCUAAAUUACUCAAAAAUGAAGAAAAUUUUACAUUUUCUCAAACAGGGUAAGGAACUUGGUUCCUCGAAUAACUUCUGGCACAGACAUCUGAGGGCAUGGCCGUCCAAGAAGGAAAUGUAGCCAUUGGUGCCAUCUAUUGACCACAGGUUAAAGAUUGGCGAUCCGUUGGAUACUGACUGAGUUAUGGGCAAAAUUUGGUGCAAAAAUGAGGAAAAUUUUACAUUUUCUCAAACAGGGUAAGGAACUUGGUUCCUCGAAUAACUUCUGGCACAGACAUCUGAGGCCAUGGCCGUCCAAGAAGGAAAUGUAGCCAUUGGUGCCAUCUAUCGACCACAGGUUAAAGAUUGGCGAUCCGUUGGAUACCGACCGAGUUAUAGGCAAAAGUUGGUGCAAAAAUGAGCCUUAUGAAAUUUUCAAAUUUUUAUAUAUUUUUAAUUUUUUCUGAUUUUUUACUCUUUUUUUAAUUUAAAGCAUUAUUUGAGUGAAAAGAAACUCAUUGCAACCAAUUGGCAUUAAAAUAAAUCAAUUUAAUUUUUUUUGCAAAAUUUCUCAAAAAAAUGGCAAGGGGUACCCCUUAUGAAAUUUUCGAGUGGAAAAUUUUUUUAAAAUUUUUUUCUGAUUUUUUAUUCUUUUUUUAAUUUAAAGCAUUGUUUCAGUGAAAAGUAACUUAUUGCAACAAAAUUCGCAUUAAAAUAUAUCAUAUUUUUAAAUUUUGCUAAAUUACUCAAAAAUGAAGAAAAUUUUACAUUUUCUCAAACAGGGUAGGGAACUUGAUUCCUCGAAUAACUUCUGGCACAGACAUCUGAGCGCAUGGCCGUCCAAGAAGGAAAUGUAGCCAUUGGUGCCAUCUAUCGACCACAGGUUAAAGAUUGGCGAUCCGUUGGAUACUGACUGAGUUAUGGGCAAAAUUUGGUGCAAAAAUGAGGAAAAUUUUACAUUUUCUCAAACAGGGUAAGGAACUUGGUUCCUCGAAUAACUUCUGGCACAGACAUCUGAGGCCAUGGCCGUCCAAGAAGGAAAUGUAGCCAUUGGUGCCAUCUAUCGACCACAGGUUAAAGAUUGGCGAUUCGUUGGAUACUGACCGAGUUAUAGGCAAAAGUUGGUGCAAAAAUGAGCCUUAUGAAAUUUUCAAAUUUUUAUAUUUUUUUAAUUUUUUCUGAUUAUUUAAUCUUUUUUUAAUUUAAAGCAUUAUUUGAGUCAAAAGAAACUCAUUGCAACCAAUUGGCAUUAAAAUAAAUCAAUUUAAUUUUUUUUGCAAAAUUUCUCAAAAAAAACGUAAAAAUAUUAAUUCGCAGCAACCGGUACAAAAGAAAAGCGAAAACCAAAAACGAUUUUUUAACACCAGGAGAACAUCCAACCGAGGAGGUAACAUCUAUCCUCUAGCGCUUUUGCUAGUCUCCACAAUGGUAUGAGUGGCGCUAAAGGGUGGUAAAGCUAAUUAGAUCCAUGUGUACCAUUGUGGAGACUAACAGAAGCAACUAAGUAAAAAUGCUUUUAGCGCUAUUUGUACUAUUGUGGAGACUAGCGAAAGCGCUAGAGUAAGAAGUAAGCUAGAGGAUAGAAGUAACCUCCUUCGUUGGACGCUCUCUUGGUGUUGAAAAGUCGUUUUUGAUUGAACGAUGAAAUGAACGAUUAGUUCCGUUUCAUCCAAUUUACAUAACCAGUCUUAUUGAAUUGUGUUUAAUUUAUAGAAAAGGUUCCUUUUUUCUUUCGCAUGGUUAUAAUGUAAAACAACAAAACCAAUAAUAUGUUAUGUUUGAUAUUUCUCUUGUAUAUUUAUUACUUUGUAUGCUUUUUUAACUUUUCUUUUCUUGUUCCACUAUUUCACUUAUCUCUUCUCCUGGUGUCGUAUCUCUUAAGCAUCGUUAUCAAUCUUUC
Anopheles funestus (African malaria mosquito) is the source of this 4277-nucleotide long non-coding RNA. RefSeq lists it as uncharacterized. The record is from RefSeq and is a predicted model, not a curated record. NCBI's taxonomy places the organism in Eukaryota, Metazoa, Arthropoda, Insecta, Diptera, Culicidae. The transcript has 6 exons.